UGCAAGCCGAUCAAAUUUGAACAAGACACAUGUUCGUUCAUGACGUAAUAAAUGUCCCUCAAAAAAUGAGUAUAUAAAAACGUCCAGCUCCACUUCAAUCAUUAUCAUUCAACGACGAUUAGCAGCAAUAACAAAAUGUUCCAGCAAAAAUUCUUCCUCUUUGUCGUCGUCUUUGCCGUCAUGGCUAUUAUUUAUGCCACCGGUGCACCCACUGACGUAGAAGAUCCGUCGGAGAAUGACGAAACUUUCUGCCGACCAUUCUCUUCGUGCUCGAGCAGCACUGAUUGUGCCAGCUUUACCAUCUACAGGACCUGUCGCACUCGUUUGUUUGGCAACAAGCAAUGCUGCCUGUUUUAAACGUCAGAAUUGUACUGAUUUUGCGUUCAUUCGCGUUGAUUGUGUAGGACACUAGAAUGCCAUAACAAAUCGUAAUGGUCUCAAUUGGAAUACACUGCUUUAAAAUCAAA
This is a long non-coding RNA of Daphnia magna, 467 nucleotides long. RefSeq lists it as uncharacterized. NCBI's taxonomy places the organism in Eukaryota, Metazoa, Arthropoda, Branchiopoda, Diplostraca, Daphniidae. The record is from RefSeq and is a predicted model, not a curated record. The transcript is spliced from 3 exons.